UACGUAGGGGGCAAGCGUUGUUCGGAAUUACUGGGCGUAAAGGGCGCGUAGGCGGUACGACAAGUCGGGAGUGAAAGCCCGGGGCUCAACCCCGGGACUGCUUUCGAAACUGUCGAACUUGAGUGCAGAAGAGGCAACUGGAAUUCCCAGUGUAGCGGUGAAAUGUGUAGAUAUUGGGAAGAGCACCUGAGGCGAAGGCGGGUUGCUGGGCUGACACUGACGCUGAGGCGCGAAAGCCAGGGGAGCGAACGGG
Molecule: ribosomal RNA, 253 nt
Filed under: uncultured bacterium
Lineage: Bacteria
Description: partial 16S ribosomal RNA
Rfam family: Bacterial small subunit ribosomal RNA
Source: RNAcentral